Colobus angolensis palliatus is the source of this 102-nucleotide unclassified non-coding RNA. It matches the Rfam family "Y RNA". Rfam says of the family: Y RNAs are components of the Ro ribonucleoprotein particle (Ro RNP), in association with Ro60 and La proteins. The Y RNAs and Ro60 and La proteins are well conserved, but the function of the Ro RNP is not known. In humans the RNA component can be one of four small RNAs -- hY1, hY3, hY4 and hY5. Lineage: Eukaryota; Metazoa; Chordata; Mammalia; Primates; Cercopithecidae. The record is from Ensembl.
GGCCAGUCCGAAUGCGAUGGUGCUUACAGCUAAUUGAUCACAACCAGUUACAGAUUUCUUUGUUCCUUCUCCACUCCUAUUCCUUCACUUGACUAGUCAUAA